UCCCAUAUGGUCUAACGCGUAGGAUUUCUGGCUUUCAUCCAGACGGUCUGGGUUCGAAUCCCGGUAUGGGAA
Astyanax mexicanus (Mexican tetra) is the source of this 72-nucleotide transfer RNA. It matches the Rfam family "tRNA". Rfam says of the family: Transfer RNA (tRNA) molecules are approximately 80 nucleotides in length. Their secondary structure includes four short double-helical elements and three loops (D, anti-codon, and T loops). The record is from Rfam. NCBI's taxonomy places the organism in Eukaryota, Metazoa, Chordata, Actinopteri, Characiformes, Acestrorhamphidae.